UGUAAAGUGCCACAUUCCACUCCCUAGUC
Molecule: non-coding RNA, 29 nt
Filed under: Rattus norvegicus (Norway rat)
Lineage: Eukaryota; Metazoa; Chordata; Mammalia; Rodentia; Muridae
Source: RNAcentral